Molecule: transfer RNA, 91 nt
Filed under: Jatrophihabitans sp.
Lineage: Bacteria; Bacillati; Actinomycetota; Actinomycetes; Jatrophihabitantales; Jatrophihabitantaceae
Description: tRNA-Ser
Rfam family: tRNA
About the family: Transfer RNA (tRNA) molecules are approximately 80 nucleotides in length. Their secondary structure includes four short double-helical elements and three loops (D, anti-codon, and T loops).
Source: RNAcentral
GGAGGGCUCGCAUAGUGGCCUAGUGCGGCGGUCUUGAAAACCGCUGUCAGGUGAUCCCUGACCGUGGGUUCGAAUCCCACGCCCUCCGCAA